This 253-nucleotide ribosomal RNA is filed under the name uncultured bacterium. Its description in RNAcentral is "partial 16S ribosomal RNA". It matches the Rfam family "Bacterial small subunit ribosomal RNA", at positions 524 to 776 of the family's 1533-position model. The record is from RNAcentral.
UACGUAGGUGGCGAGCGUUGUCCGGAUUUACUGGGCGUAAAGGGAGCGUAGGCGGACUCUUAAGUGAGAUGUGAAAUACUCGGGCUCAACUUGAGUGCUGCAUUUCAAACUGGAAGUCUAGAGUGCAGGAGAGGAGAAUGGAAUUCCUAGUGUAGCGGUGAAAUGCGUAGAGGUUAGGAAGAACACCAGUGGCGAAGGCGAUUCUCUGGACUGUAACUGACGCUGAGGCUCGAAAGCGUGGGGAGCAAACAGG